This 534-nucleotide ribosomal RNA is filed under the name uncultured Acinetobacter sp. RNAcentral's name for it is "bacterial SSU rRNA". It matches the Rfam family "Bacterial small subunit ribosomal RNA", at positions 343 to 868 of the family's 1533-position model. The record is from RNAcentral. Lineage: Bacteria; Pseudomonadati; Pseudomonadota; Gammaproteobacteria; Moraxellales; Moraxellaceae.
GGGAGGCAGCACUGGGGAAUAUUGGACAAUGGGGGGAACCCUGAUCCAGCCAUAUCGCGUGUGUGAAGAAGGCCUUUUGGUUGUAAAGCACUUUAAGCGAGGAGGAGGCUACCGAGAUUAAUACUCUUGGAUAGUGGACGUUACUCGCAGAAUAAGCACCGGCUAACUUUGUGCCAGCAGCCGCGGUAAUACAGAGGGUGCAAGCGUUAAUUGGAUUUUCUGGGGGUAAAGCGCGGGUAGGUGGCCAAUUAAGUCAAAUGUGAAAUUCCCGAGCUUAACCUGGGAAUUGCAUUCGAUACUGGUUGGCUAGAGUAUGGGAGAGGAUGGUAGAAUUUCAGGUGUAACCAUGAAAAGGGUAGAAAUUUGGAGGAAUCCCGAUGGCGAAGGCAACCAUUUGGCCUAAUACUGACAGUGAGGUCAGAAAGCAUGGGGAGCAAACCGGAUUAGAUACCCUGGUAGUUCCUCCCCUAAACGAUGUUUACUAGCCGUUGGGGCCUUUGAGGCUUCAGUGGCGCAGCUAACGCGAUAAGUAGA